GGGUCUCGCGCAGAUUUAAUUUGCCCAUAAAAGUGAGUGUUAUUUUUUUGCAAACUGGGCAUAGUAUUUUUUGGUAUUGCUAUUACCAAAGAUUAAAUCGUAAGCAACACUGUCUUUUUCUUCAUUAAGAACACUUCGCGGUUUUCAGCGUAACAGCUGCGCUAGACCCCAUUCUUGUGUUUCAGUGAUUCUACUAGCAAAGUAAAUGGCCACAAUCUGUCGCUUGUUAUUUAAGACUAAGGAACCCGAAGCGCCACGACUUAAACUACCAUUAGUGAUCCCAAUUCCCUUGCCAUACAUUUGGUAUUCUUUGCCACGAAACUGGCGAUUAAACGGAAAGUUCUUGGUGUUAUCAUGGUUUCAAGCCCAGGUGCCACCAUUAAACUUGUCACUUUUAAUCCUACCCAAAUGCGGUCCUUCUUCGUUAAUUGUGGAAACAAAGGGCUGAUCAUUGGGUAUUUGGGCUGUUUCACCAGGCACUGUUUUUUCUUUCCCGGUUUGGUUUACAAAUAAAGUUGGCAGCUUUUUCGCUAUGUAAGGAUAGCCCAGUACAUAAUAAUGACUAUGUUUAAACUGGUCUAAAGUUGGGUAGGCAAAAAUGUUUAAGCUAUCACCUAACUGUUUGUAAGCUCUAAUUGCUGGUUGGAUGAAAUGAUCAAAAAUUUGUCGGUCAGAUGAAUUAUUGAGAAAUAAAGGUAGUUCUAAUACCGCAGAGUCAGCAUAAGGAUGAACUUCAUCUUUAUUUGGCUUAAUUUGUACCUUUCAUUGCUGUUCUCUUUGUUUUUUAUUCUUUUGAUCUUUGGAUAAAGUGUAGUUCACAAAGUCAUGUGCAAUGAAAGCAGUUUUAGGAAGUACCGUUGGUUGUGCUGCUACAAAAGCUUGGGUAGAGUUGGGUAAGCCUAAUUUGCUUGGUGCGACAAAUUGUUUAACAUCAGUGUAUUUGCCAAUUCUAAAAUCAACGGUUCGCACAAAAUUGAUAUCAAAUUGGUUGUAAGGCGGAUGAUCUUCUCGGUUUUUUAAGGCCUGUAUGACGUGUAAAUUAGUAGCUAAGUAAACAGUAAAUUUAUUAGCUUUUUUAUCUUUCUUGUCAACUUCCUUCCAGUCAAUUAACCAACCCGUUCCGUGAAUGGAACCAAAAUCUAUUUGACUUUUAUCUUUUUCGGUUUUUUCAAUUCUGUUAAAAAAACCUAAAAAAAAGGUUAAAUCAUAGUUGGCAUGAUCGAUUUCUGCACUACCAGGAAUAUUGUUAAUGUAAUACCCUUCGAAUUUAUCAGGUUUUCGAAAGGCUGAACAAGCACUUAAAACAGUUAGUGCCAAUAAUCCACUAAGAAAACCAAAACGCUUGAGCGCAACUCACAUAAACGAGUAAUUCUAAUAAAGGGUUAAGGAGCCCUGUUUGCAGUGAUAUCCCAAAGGAUUAAACCACAAAAUUUUUAAGACUUUUGGUUUUUAACAAAGGUAAAUUGUUGGUCGUUGCUUUGCUUAAUUUGCUCAAACAAAUGGGUUUUAUGUUGUUUAGCAAAUUGAGCGUAGUACUUUUUAGUGUCUUUGUUACCAAAGAUUAAGUCAUAGGCCACUGUGUUUGUGCCAUCGUUAUUAUGGCCAUUGGCUUUUCAACGCAGCAACUGAGCUACCCCUCAAGCAGUAGUGGUGUUACUAGUAGACGCAAAAUAAAUGCCAGUAAUUUGGUGCUUAUCGUUUAACACUAAAGCACCACUAGCGCCACUUGUAAAACCAGCAUUG
This 1743-nucleotide small RNA is filed under the name Mycoplasmoides pneumoniae M129. RNAcentral's name for it is "Mycoplasma pneumoniae M129 ncRNA". The record is from RNAcentral. Lineage: Bacteria; Bacillati; Mycoplasmatota; Mycoplasmoidales; Mycoplasmoidaceae.